This is a long non-coding RNA of Rhopalosiphum padi (bird cherry-oat aphid), 1213 nucleotides long. RefSeq lists it as uncharacterized. Lineage: Eukaryota; Metazoa; Arthropoda; Insecta; Hemiptera; Aphididae. The record is from RefSeq and is a predicted model, not a curated record. The transcript is spliced from 4 exons.
UUUUGGCGAAUCGACAACGACGCCAACGCACAUCCGCGGUUUGAACCGUAGCUAAAUAUCGUGUAUUUGAAUUAGAUCAAUAACUUUUAGCAUUCGACUGCACCACACACGUACAGCACGGUACAGAAAUCUGUUGGUGGUGUACAGCAUCUACAUAAUAAUAUACUGAGUACUCUACGUUUCUACAGAUACCUACUUUCGAUAACAAGGAUCGACUGUUCAACUCGUGUUGAAAAUGUAUGUUCAGGUGCUGCAGAAGUAACAGUCAUGUUGCAAAUAAUAUGCAUGGUGCACAGCUUAAUAGUUUAUAAUUUAAUAGCUUCUAGUGGGACACUCUAAGUGGAUAAACAGACAAUAUUCUAAUGCUGGAAAACAAUAUUUUACUCUAAUUAGUUUUCAAGCAUCAAUUUUAUUGAUGACAAAAAAUAUUUUUCAAUUAAGAGAGAAUUCUUUUGAAUAUGGUCACAAACUUUAAGUAUAUACCUGUUGUGGGUAUUAUGCUAUUAUGAAAAAUAAAUUAUAUGCUGUUAAGAUAUUAUUCAAAAACAAAACUACUGCUCAAGCCAACUAUACAUAUACAACAGGUUUGACAAAAUGUCAUCGUAUGGUUUCACUUCUUUUGUAUAGGUAUUAAAAUACAUCUGUUACUGAUAUAUCACGCAGCACGUCAAAAAAAAAAAAUAUUCAAAAGAAAAUAAAGAAGUAUUUACUAUUAAUUAUAUGGUAUACAAAUAAUUAACUAUGAAGCUAAUAAGCUGUUACUAAUACCAGUAAUACCCAUAAUAUUUAUUUUGAUGAAUAAUCGACGACUAACCAAACAAUUGAAGAUUUAAGUGAAAUUCUACCCUUGGAAAAUGUUAUUAAUUCUUAAGAUUUCUCUAGAACUUCGAAAAAUAAUAUACAAAUGUUGUUUGAGAUUUGUAUUUUUUUUUUUAAACGUGAUAUAGCUUCAAAGACCACAGGACAAUAUGACAGUGUAAAAUGGUCUUAGUAAAAAAUUAUGUUUAACUUCUAGAAUUUCUUAAAAGUGUGAAUAAUGAAGGUGUGCCUUAAUACUUACUAUAUGUAUGUAUAUGACGUAAUGGUUAUAAUACAAUUAUGUACUAUUUUUUAGGUUUAAUAUUGUUAGAUAUAUGCAUUAAUGUAUUAAUAUAAGAUUAAUAUUUGUAUAAUAUUAUACCCAAUACAUUUUUCUUAAAUUUAUAAUUUACAA